Molecule: long non-coding RNA, 2758 nt
Filed under: Homo sapiens (human)
Lineage: Eukaryota; Metazoa; Chordata; Mammalia; Primates; Hominidae
Description: HSALNT0273610
Source: RNAcentral
CAAAAAAAAAAAAGAAUAAUGUUAGUGCCCCUGCCCCCCAACUCUCCUCCACCCCCGGGGUGCAGGCUGGCUGGGGCUCCGGGUCAACUCUCCCUUCUCCCUCUGUAGAAGCCAGACGCUUCCCCUCUCUCCCCUCACCUAAAGAAGCCAGUUUGGGGCCAGUCACAUACUGGAUUAUGGAUCUUCAGAAUCCCUGGUCUUUGGCAUUUGGAAAGGCCUGGAAUAUGCCUUUUUAGCAGAUGACUGUGAUGCAGGUGGUCUGAGAAUGUGCUCUACAUCUUGUAAAACAGGUGACAUGAAAUGGCCGUUCUAGUCUAUGCAAUGGCAGCAUGAACACAGAAAGCUGAAACGGGGGAUCAGUUCUGCAGCCAAGAGACAUUAAAGCUCAAAGAGAUCUUGCCUGGGAGUGAGGACUGUUGAUAUUGUAAAAAUGCACCACUCCUAGAAGGGAGGAACAAAGGAACUCGGUCCAAGAGCCUCUCUGAGACCUCUUCUCCCUUCUCUGUCAGCACAGGAAAAGAGAGUGGAGGGGCUGCUGCCCCAGGAAGGCUGGGCCCACCCCUCCUCACAGGCACCCUGAUGCCUGUUCAGCUUGGCUCUCUGGAUGACAGGCAGAAGCCCCAGUUGCUUCUCUUCUCCACGGUGAUUUCUGCAUACUUUAUCCAAACCCCCUCCCCACCGCUGUUCAGUUUCUGGCUCCUCUUCCUGCCCGUGCUCUGAGGCCAGCUGGGGGCCUCCCAGGUGACUCCUGCUGCUGCUGUCACUGGACCCUGACGCUGUGCCGCACCCGAAUUCCUCCGAAUGGAGCCUUGGCCAGAGCAAGGCGUGCCGUGUAGAGGAGCGGAUCUGAGCCUGGCAGGAGAUCGCUAAAACCUUUGCCCUUCACACAAACGCGGAAGCACGGGGCGGGUGCUGAAGAGCCAAGCAAGUGUCCCCCAUUUCCUUCCAAGGCAGAGCAGCAGCCCAGGGAGGCCCAGUUUCCAUCGCGGCAGAAGGGCAGAAGAGUGGGGGAGGUCCCAGGACCACAGCCCAGGGGACACUCAGGAUGCGCCAGGAAGGACAUGGCAGACAGGCCCUUUAGGUGGAAAAGCAACCCUCAGCUGCCCAGAGAGCGGCCCCUCCAGGCCCUCCCCGCCGUCUGCAAAGCUCUUCAGCUGGGAGAGGAGGAAAGGGUUUGUUCUUGACCUCCUUCCUUUCCUUUCUUCUCCACUGUCCACCAGAGAGCAGGAAGACAGGCUGAUGCUCUUGUUAAAGAUGAAGGCAUAAUUCACAUGCCAUAAAAUUCACCAUUUUAACCAUUUUAAGGUGCACAGUUCAGUGGUUUUGAGUGCAUUACAUUGUUGGGCAACCAUCAGCAUGGUCUAAUUCCAAAACAUUUCUGUCACUCCAAAAAGAAAUCUUGUACCCAUUAGCAGUCACUCCCCAUUUCCCCCUACCCCCCAGCCCCCCGGCACCCACGAAGGUGCUUUCUCUGUUUCGAGGGAUCUUCCUAUUGUGGCAAAUCCUCUGAAUGGAAUCAUACAAUAUGUGGUCUUCUGCCACUGGCUUCUUUCACUGACCAUAAUUUUUCAAGGUUCACCCACGUUGUAGCAUGCGUCAGCGCUUCAUUCCUUUCCAUGGCUGGACUGUAUUUCAUUGUAUGUCUGGACCACAUUCUGUUUCUCUAGUCAUCAGUUGAUUACUUACUUUUCAGGGCCCACUUAGCCUUUCUUCCCAAGGGCAGGGGCUCUGUUGUCCACUGUUUUGGAGUCUUCCAGCAGACUUGAUGGAGUGUACCAGUGGUUUCCUUGCUGGGCAAAUAACCAGAGGGUCCCUGGGUACGGGAAUCUCUGAGUCCUGAUCUUUGGCUCUGCUGCAGACCAGGUCACUGUAUGAUCUUUUAGCAGCCUCUUUACCUCACCUGGCCUCAGUUUCUUCAUCUGAAAAAUGAAGGGCUUGAAGCAGAUGGUCUCUAACACUUCUCCUGGCCCAACACUUUAAGAUGUUUCAGCAAAGCAGUGAAGAAGCAGCCUUCUGUGACCUUUCUGAACAAGGCAGAGGAAAGCAAGCUGUAGGCUGACAUAGUUAGGUGAUUCCAUAACAAAAUUGCGCUGUAAACAAUCAUCUGGAUCAAUCGACAGAAGGCACUUGCAACAGGUUCCCAGAUGACAGAAAACUAUAGGAAUGACAGGGAAGGAAUGAUGGGGCAGAUUAAAAUGGAGAAAUUUAACAGGGACAAAUGUAAAAGUCGGACAUUUUGCUCCAAAGUUCAACAGAACAGCUACCUGCUUUGUUGGAUAUGUUCAGGCAGUGUCCUUUAUAAGAGUUUGAUUGACUCUAAAUGAAUCUCAUUAUGAGUCACCAUUGGGACAGGCUGCCAAAAGGCCAAUGUGACUUCAGAUUAAAUCAAUAGAGGUCUACUGGCUGAAACAAGGGAGGUGACAUUAUUGAGUCCAUCCCUGGUGUAUGUAGCUGCUACCCUCUGAGAAGGAGGCCCCCAAUAGGAAAAGCCAGAGGGAGGAUGGAUAAGACAUGAAGAGCUCUAGAACCAUGGUUUGGUAGUAGGAGGGGCUCAGGGUUUGGGUCUUUAAAAGAUAAGACAGAGAGUGCUGUUCACAUCUGUGAAGGAACAUGGCAUGAGAAGGGGAGUUGACUUCCACCAUGGGGACCUGCAGGGUGACUGGGGCUGGAAGAUGAUCAAUUGUGACCCAGGACCAGGAAGAACUUCGCAGCAACAAAAGUCACAGGAAAUGGAAAAAACUCCUGGUGAAGAACACAG